UUUUAUUUGAGAGUUUGAUCCUGGCUCAGGAUGAACGCUGGCGGCGUGCCUAACACAUGCAAGUUGAGCGAUUUACUUCGGUAAAGAGCGGCGGACGGGGGAGUAACGCGUGGGGAACCUACCCUGUACACACGGAUAACAUACCGAAAGGUAUGCUAAUACGGGAUAAUAUAUUUGAGAGGCA
This 184-nucleotide ribosomal RNA is filed under the name Clostridioides difficile. Its description in RNAcentral is "partial 16S ribosomal RNA". It matches the Rfam family "Bacterial small subunit ribosomal RNA", at positions 1 to 191 of the family's 1533-position model. Lineage: Bacteria; Bacillati; Bacillota; Clostridia; Peptostreptococcales; Peptostreptococcaceae. The record is from RNAcentral.